CGCUGAAGCAUCUUCGGGUGUGGAUGAGUGGCGAACGGGUGAGUAACACGUGGGUAAUCUGCCCUGCACUCUGGGAUAAGCCUUGGAAACGGGGUCUAAUACCGGAUAUGACACUGGAUCGCAUGGUCUGGUGUGGAAAGUUCCGGCGGUGCAGGAUGAGCCCGCGGCCUAUCAGCUUGUUGGUGGGGUAGUGGCCUACCAAGGCGACGACGGGUAGCCGGCCUGAGAGGGUGACCGGCCACACUGGGACUGAGACACGGCCCAGACUCCUACGGGAGGCAGCAGUGGGGAAUCUUGCGCAAUGGGCGAAAGCCUGACGCAGCAACGCCGCGUGGGGGAUGACGGCCUUCGGGUUGUAAACCUCUUUCGACAUCGACGAAGGCCCCUUUGGGGUUGACGGUAGGUGUAGAAGAAGCACCGGCUAACUACGUGCCAGCAGCCGCGGUAAUACGUAGGGUGCAAGCGUUGUCCGGAUUUAUUGGGCGUAAAGAGCUCGUAGGCGGUUUGUUGCGUCGGCCGUGAAAACCUGCAGCUUAACUGUGGGCUUGCGGUCGAUACGGGCAGACUUGAGUUCGGUAGGGGAGACUGGAAUUCCUGGUGUAGCGGUGAAAUGCGCAGAUAUCAGGAGGAACACCGGUGGCGAAGGCGGGUCUCUGGGCCGAUACUGACGCUGAGGAGCGAAAGCGUGGGGAGCGAACAGGAUUAGAUACCCUGGUAGUCCACGCCGUAAACGUUGGGCGCUAGGUGUGGGGAUGGGUUCCACUGUUUCCGUGCCGUAGCUAACGCAUUAAGCGCCCCGCC
This 801-nucleotide ribosomal RNA is filed under the name Saccharopolyspora sp. Its description in RNAcentral is "bacterial SSU rRNA". It matches the Rfam family "Bacterial small subunit ribosomal RNA", at positions 67 to 873 of the family's 1533-position model. Lineage: Bacteria; Bacillati; Actinomycetota; Actinomycetes; Pseudonocardiales; Pseudonocardiaceae. The record is from RNAcentral.